Molecule: ribosomal RNA, 253 nt
Filed under: uncultured bacterium
Lineage: Bacteria
Description: partial 16S ribosomal RNA
Rfam family: Bacterial small subunit ribosomal RNA
Source: RNAcentral
UACGAAGGGGGCUAGCGUUGUUCGGAAUUACUGGGCGUAAAGGGUUCGUAGGUGGCUUGCUAAGUCAGACGUGAAAUCCCUCAGCUUAACUGGGGAACUGCGUCUGAUACUGGCGAGCUUGAGUGCAGGAGAGGAACGCGGAAUUCCAGGUGUAGCGGUGAAAUGCGUAGAUAUCUGGAGGAACACCGGUGGCGAAGGCGGCGUUCUGGACUGCAACUGACACUGAGGAACGAAAGCCAGGGGAGCAAACGGG